GAUGAUGAUCCCAAGCCUUCAGGCGUUCUGUUUAUUAAAUUCCAAAAGCAAUAAAAACAUUUAGGAGUGUUUAAAAAAAACAAACCAAAAGCGUUUAAGAAACAUAUAUGUUUGUUAAACAUAUCUUUUAUCUGUCCCGAGGAAGGUUUUUACCAAUUCACUCCUGAGGGCUUGUAGCUCAGUUGGUUAGAGCGCGCGCUUGAUAAGCGUGAGGUCGGAGGUUCAAGUCCUCCCAGGCCCACCAAUUUAUGAUCGCUGAUAAAGUUUUUUGCGAACGUUUUGAUAGUCUUUUAUGUUGCAAUCUUUCACUUUUAUGUUGCACUUUUAAAAGUUAUUUGAACUGUUUUAGGGGCCGUAGCUCAGCUGGGAGAGCACCUGCUUUGCAAGCAGGGGGUCGUCGGUUCGAUCCCGUCCGGCUCCACCAUCUUUGGUUAUCAUCAUCGUUGGAGAACAAUGUUUGCAAUAGAUUUAUAGAUCUUAAGUCUAUCAUCUAUUGCCUGUUCU
RNAcentral lists this transfer RNA (504 nucleotides) under Bartonella bovis. RNAcentral describes it as "partial 16S-23S ribosomal RNA intergenic spacer". The stretch from base 168 to 241 matches the Rfam family "tRNA". The record is from RNAcentral. Lineage: Bacteria; Pseudomonadati; Pseudomonadota; Alphaproteobacteria; Hyphomicrobiales; Bartonellaceae.